Long non-coding RNA from Eptesicus fuscus (big brown bat), 295 nucleotides. RefSeq lists it as uncharacterized. Lineage: Eukaryota; Metazoa; Chordata; Mammalia; Chiroptera; Vespertilionidae. The transcript has 3 exons. The record is from RefSeq and is a predicted model, not a curated record.
GCAAGUGGACAGGGUGGUGUUCACAGAGUCAAUACAACACAAGAUCUGGCAUCAGAUGUCCUGCAUAUAAGACCAGCCUUACCGUGCAUUAAAGGAGUUUCAUUCUUCGACAGACUCUCCCCUCAUGGCUGACAGAAGGCUGCAGCCUCCCAAGACUUCACACUGCCAGGACUUCAAGUCUGGUGGGGAGAAGGAGACCACUCAUCCUCAGCAUAUGAACAAAAGCCCCAGAGAAGAAUCAAACCCGGGACCCUUCAGUCCACAGGCCGAUGCUCUAUCCACUGAGCCAAAACAG